UAGUAAAAUAAUGAAAAGAAAAGAAAAAAGCAAAAGUUAUAAAAGAUAUAAAAGUAGUUAAGAGCUUCAAAAAGUGUGCAAAAACUUCGAACAUAGUUAAAGACAGAAAACAAACAUAAGAGAAAAAAAUCAAACCGCUAAAAAGAGAAACUAAAAUGAAACUAAAAUCAACCAAACAAACUAUCUAAAUUAUCCUAAAUCCUCGUACACACAAAUUUCCGGAGAGAGCAAAUUGAAAGAAAUUAUACAAAACCACAUGCACAAAA
RNAcentral lists this long non-coding RNA (266 nucleotides) under Lathyrus oleraceus (garden pea). Its description in RNAcentral is "Pisum sativum (pea) long non-coding RNA (PSAT_LNC023166)". Lineage: Eukaryota; Viridiplantae; Streptophyta; Magnoliopsida; Fabales; Fabaceae. The record is from RNAcentral.